RNAcentral lists this ribosomal RNA (428 nucleotides) under uncultured bacterium. RNAcentral describes it as "bacterial SSU rRNA". It matches the Rfam family "Bacterial small subunit ribosomal RNA", at positions 355 to 776 of the family's 1533-position model. The record is from RNAcentral.
UGGGGAAUUUUGCGCAAUGGGCGAAAGCCUGACGCAGCAACGCCGCGUGUGUGAUGAAGGUCUUCGGAUUGUAAAGCACUUUCGACCGGGACGAAACUCCUUCGGCCAAUACCCGGAGGUCUGACGGUACCGGGAGAAGAAGCACCGGCUAACUCUGUGCCAGCAGCCGCGGUAAUACAGAGGGUGCAAGCGUUGUUCGGAAUUAUUGGGCGUAAAGCGCGUGUAGGCGGCAAGGCAAGUCGGGUGUGAAAGCCCUCGGCUCAACCGAGGAAGUGCGCCCGAAACUGCCCUGCUCGAGUACCGGAGAGGGUGGCGGAAUUCCCCAAGUAGAGGUGAAAUUCGUAGAUAUGGGGAGGAACACCUGUGGCGAAGGCGGCCACCUGGACGGAUACUGACGCUGAGACGCGAAAGCGUGGGGAGCAAACAGG